CCUACGGGAGGCAGCAGUAAGGAAUAUUGGACAAUGGUCGCAAGACUGAUCCAGCCAUGCCGCGUGCAGGAUGACUGCCCUAUGGGUUGUAAACUGCUUUUGUACGGGAAUAAACCCCUCUACGUGUAGAGGGCUGAAUGUACCGUAAGAAUAAGGGUCGGCUAACUUCGUGCCAGCAGCCGCGGUAAGACGAAGGACCCAAGCGUUAUCCGGAUUCAUUGGGUUUAAAGGGUGCGUAGGCGGAUUGAUAAGUCAGUGGUGAAAGCCUGUUGCUUAACAACAGAACUGCCAUUGAUACUGUCUAUCUUGAAUAUGGUUGAUGUGGGCGGAAUAUGACAUGUAGCGGUGAAAUGCUUAGAUAUGUCAUAGAACACCGAUUGCGAAGGCAGCUCACAAAGCCAUUAUUGACGCUGAGGCACGAAAGCGUGGGGAUCAAACAGGAUUAGAUACCCUGGUAGUCCACGCUGUAAACUUUGAUCACUCGCUGUUGGCGAUACACUGUCAGCGGCUAAGCGAAAGCGUUAAGUGAUCCACCGUGGGGAGUACGAUCGCAAGAUUAGAAACUACAAAGGAAUUAGGACGG
This 583-nucleotide ribosomal RNA is filed under the name uncultured bacterium. RNAcentral's name for it is "bacterial SSU rRNA". It matches the Rfam family "Bacterial small subunit ribosomal RNA", at positions 338 to 918 of the family's 1533-position model. The record is from RNAcentral.